This 528-nucleotide ribosomal RNA is filed under the name uncultured bacterium. RNAcentral's name for it is "bacterial SSU rRNA". It matches the Rfam family "Bacterial small subunit ribosomal RNA", at positions 777 to 1304 of the family's 1533-position model. The record is from RNAcentral.
AAUAGAUACCCUGGUAGUCCACCCCGUAAACGUUGGGAACUAGUUGUGGGUCCAUUCCACGGAUUCCGUGACGCAGCUAACGCAUUAAGUUCCCCGCCUGGGGAGUACGGCCGCAAGGCUAAAACUCAAAGGAAUUGACGGGGACCCGCACAAGCGGCGGAGCAUGCGGAUUAAUUCGAUGCAACGCGAAGAACCUUACCAAGGCUUGACAUACACGAGAACGGGCCAGAAAUGGUCAACUCUUUGGACACUCGUGAACAGGUGGUGCAUGGUUGUCGUCAGCUCGUGUCGUGAGAUGUUGGGUUAAGUCCCGCAACGAGCGCAACCCUCGUUCUAUGUUGCCAGCACGUCAUGGUGGGAACUCAUGGGAUACUGCCGGGGUCAACUCGGAGGAAGGUGGGGAUGACGUCAAAUCAUCAUGCCCCUUAUGUCUUGGGCUUCACGCAUGCUACAAUGGCCGGUACAAAGGGCUGCAAUACCGUGAGGUGGAGCGAAUCCCAAAAAGCCGGUCCCAGUUCGGAUUGAGGU